Molecule: long non-coding RNA, 357 nt
Filed under: Mus pahari (shrew mouse)
Lineage: Eukaryota; Metazoa; Chordata; Mammalia; Rodentia; Muridae
Description: predicted gene 20652 (MGP_PahariEiJ_G0003472.1)
Source: RNAcentral
GGGGUACCCGCGCACCGGACCGGACGCCGGGGUCUGACCUCCAGAAGGGCCCUGCCUUUGCCCUUGCCACAACCUGACUGGGGGGACCCCAUGAUUCUGCCAGAUGAAUAGGAUGGUGUCUCCUCCAGGUUUCUCUUGGUGCUCAGAGGCUGACUCCUACCUUGUCCCUGCCGGUCAUGCCCAAGAGGAAGCUGAAGGUCCGUCGCAGGGAGGAGCCUGCCCAGGUCCCGGGGUCCUCUUCCAGCUGUUUACCACUGCAGAGAGACAGGGAAGAGAUGAGGGGAGCUGGAAAAGAAACAGACCACAGGGAUGGCAGGUGUCCACGCCACGGAGAUAGGAGAAUGGAAAUAAUCCUAC